GGAUGAGCCCGCGGCCUAUCAGGUAGUUGGUGGGGUAAUGGCCUACCAAGGCGACGACGGGUAGCCGGCCUGAGAGGGUGACCGGCCACACUGGGACUGAGACACGGCCCAGACUCCUACGGGAGGCAGCAGUGGGGAAUAUUGGACAAUGGGCGAAAGCCUGAUCCAGCGACGCCGCGUGAGGGAUGACGGCCUUCGGGUUGUAAACCUCUUUCAGCAGGGAAGAAGCGCAAGUGACGGUACCUGCAGAAGAAGCACCGGCUAACUACGUGCCAGCAGCCGCGGCCG
RNAcentral lists this ribosomal RNA (288 nucleotides) under uncultured actinomycete. RNAcentral's name for it is "partial 16S ribosomal RNA". It matches the Rfam family "Bacterial small subunit ribosomal RNA", at positions 223 to 523 of the family's 1533-position model. The record is from RNAcentral. Lineage: Bacteria; Bacillati; Actinomycetota; Actinomycetes; Actinomycetales.